GACGAACGCUGGCGGCGUGCUUAACACAUGCAAGUCGAGCGGUAAGGCCCUUUCGGGGGUACGACGAGCGGCGAACGGGUGAGUAACACGUGGGUGACCUGCCCUCAGCUCUGGGAUAAGCCUGGGAAACCGGGGUCUAAUACUGGAUAUGACUCCAUGACGCAUGUUGGUGGGGUAGGAAAGCCUUGUGCGGCUGGAGGAGUCGGGCCCGCGGCCUAUCAGCUUGUUGGGUGGGGNGAUGGCCUACCAAGGCGACGACGGGUAGGCCGGCCUGAG
This 276-nucleotide ribosomal RNA is filed under the name uncultured bacterium. Its description in RNAcentral is "partial 16S ribosomal RNA". It matches the Rfam family "Bacterial small subunit ribosomal RNA", at positions 28 to 296 of the family's 1533-position model. The record is from RNAcentral.